Molecule: ribosomal RNA, 514 nt
Filed under: uncultured bacterium
Lineage: Bacteria
Description: partial 16S ribosomal RNA
Rfam family: Bacterial small subunit ribosomal RNA
Source: RNAcentral
GAUGAACGCUGGCGGCGUGCCUAAUACAUGCAAGUCGAGCGAAUGGAUUAAGAGCUUGCUCUUAUGAAGUUAGCGGCGGACGGGUGAGUAACACGUGAGUAACCUGCCCAUAAGACUGGGAUAACUCCGGGAAACCGGGGCUAAUACCGGAUACCAUUUUGAACCGCAUGGUUCGAAAUUGAAAGGCGGCUUCGGCUGUCACUUAUGGAUGGACCCGCGUCGCAUUAGGUAGUUGGUGAGGUAACGGCUCACCAAGGCAACGAUGCGUAGCCGACCUGAGAGGGUGAUCGGCCACACUGGGACUGAGACACGGCCCAGACUCCUACGGGAGGCAGCAGUAGGGAAUCUUCCGCAAUGGACGAAAGUCUGACGGAGCAACGCCGCGUGAGUGAUGAAGGCUUUCGGGUCGUAAAACUCUGUUGUUAGGGAAGAACAAGUGCUAGUUGAAUAAGCUGGCACCUUGACGGUACCUAACCAGAAAGCCACGGCUAACUACGUGCCAGCCGUCGCGUAA